This 397-nucleotide ribosomal RNA is filed under the name uncultured bacterium. RNAcentral's name for it is "bacterial SSU rRNA". It matches the Rfam family "Bacterial small subunit ribosomal RNA", at positions 28 to 426 of the family's 1533-position model. The record is from RNAcentral.
GACGAACGCUGGCGGCGUGCUUAACACAUGCAAGUCGAACGGAAAGGCCCUUUUGGGGGUACUCGAGUGGCGAACGGGUGAGUAACACGUGGGUGAUCUGCCCUGCACUUUGGGAUAAGCCUGGGAAACUGGGUCUAAUACCGGAUAGGACUGCGGCCUGCAUGGGUUGUGGUGGAAAGCUAUUUGCGGUGUGGGAUGGGCCCGCGGCCUAUCAGCUUGUUGGUGGGGUGAUGGCCUACCAAGGCGACGACGGGUAGCCGGCCUGAGAGGGUGUCCGGCCACACUGGGACUGAGAUACGGCCCAGACUCCUACGGGAGGCAGCAGUGGGGAAUAUUGCACAAUGGGCGCAAGCCUGAUGCAGCGACGCCGCGUGGGGGAUGACGGCCUUCGGGUUGU